Neolamprologus brichardi is the source of this 1271-nucleotide non-coding RNA. NCBI's taxonomy places the organism in Eukaryota, Metazoa, Chordata, Actinopteri, Cichliformes, Cichlidae. The record is from RefSeq and is a predicted model, not a curated record.
ACGAGAGAAGGGAGGCGAAAUCAACAUGGCGGCAGCGACGAGCAUUAGCAUAACCGAAGUGAAUUAUUUACUUAGUUGAAUAUUUUCUUCUAUAUCUUUGGACGAAAAGGUUAAGAGACUGGGACCACAUCAUCCAAACGAUGUUCAAAUAACACAAACGACAGAAUCGUAAAGUUUGUGUUAUGUGGUUUCAACGAAAGGACUAGCUAACGGCAAGCAGGAAUUCACUUUACUGUGUCCCAUGCCUGCUUUUUGGAGGAGACACAGCUUGAAUUCAACAAGGAAUUGUGGAUUUGAAGCAUUUAUCUGACAAAAUUAGAAAACACGAAUGAAGCAGAAGUCACAUUGGAAAUGGGGUAAAGUUAACAUCGCCUGCCACCUGGAUGAAGGACACCGCAUUGCUUUAGACUCUAAAGCACUUGGUGUCGUUUGACUUCAACGACAGGGUGAUUAACAUGUUUGCAUCCCAGAAAACUCGAUGUUGUGAUCUUCACUUUAAAUAAGUGUUUCGCAGCUUGGGCUGAUGGAUCCAGGUAAAAGUCUCAUCGAGAUUUAAUUUUCCAAGAGAGACCUGGCCGUCAUGGAAGCAAAGGUUACAACAAAUACAACAUACCAACAGAAGAAGCGAGCACAAUGUAAGGCAAAAGUACGUUUCCAGUUUUACUGGGAAACUUGUGAGUAUUUUUCAAAGAUCAACCCCACACUGCUCUCAGGGACUAUUUGUGUAGUUGUGGAAAAGUUGUGACACUGAAACUGGUAAUAUUUACAACUGAUCCUGAUAAUUAUUGUCACUAAUGUUUAUAUUGCCAUUUUGAAUAAUCUCAUCAAUGUUUAUAAAGCAUGCUUUUAUCCUUUUCUUCUUAUUCUAUUUUUCUUUUACAGUUACUGCAUUGUGGGUUUCAAAUUAGAAAGCCUUCCCUGUCUGCUUAGACUUGAAUCUGCUGUAGUCACUGUUUUAUCUGUAGGGUAGGUGUGCAGAGAACUUAAUGUGUGCCCAGCCUAACCCUCCUUCACCUCCCAAAUCCAUACGGUGGUAACACUUACAUCUCUUUUAAAAACCUGCAGCCGACUCCUUGGACCUGGGGAGCGUUUCGUGUCAACACAUCUAAGAAAAGAGACAGUGCAAUGCUGCAGUGGUUCAUCUUCACUGUAUUCACUUGCUUCUUUCUUCAUCGCAGUCUCUGUUGCUUGUUGAAGUAUUUUGUGCAGUGAAUGCUAACAGAUUUUGGUACCUGCUCAAAGAAGAUCAAAUAAAGCUUUGCAACAUGGUC